This 468-nucleotide ribosomal RNA is filed under the name uncultured bacterium. Its description in RNAcentral is "partial 16S ribosomal RNA". It matches the Rfam family "Bacterial small subunit ribosomal RNA", at positions 28 to 507 of the family's 1533-position model. The record is from RNAcentral.
GACGAACGCUGGCGGCGUGCUUAACACAUGCAAGUCGAACGGAAAGGCCCUGCUUUUGUGGGGUGCUCGAGUGGCGAACGGGUGAGUAACACGUGAGUAACCUGCCCUUGACUUUGGGAUAACUUCAGGAAACUGGGGCUACUACCGGAUAGGAGCUCCUGCUGCAUGGUGGGGGUUGGAAAGUUUCGGCGGUUGGGGAUGGACUCGCGGCUUAUCAGCUUGUUGGUGGGGUAGUGGCUUACCAAGGCUUUGACGGGUAGCCGGCCUGAGAGGGUGACCGGCCACAAUGGGACUGAGAUACGGCCCAGACGCCUACGGGAGGCAACAGGGGGGAAUAUUGCCCAAUGGGCGGAAGCCUGAUGCAGCAACGCCGCGUGCGGGAUGACGGCCUUCGGGUUGUAAACCGCUUUCGCCUGUGACGAAGCGUGAGUGACGGUAAUGGGUAAAUAAGCACCGGCUAACUACGUG